CACAAAUGAGAUACACGACAAAGCAUGAUUUUGUUUGAUUAAUCAUCUCCCCAUACACCGCAGGUUUGACGAAAUACAUCUAGACAACAUACAGGCUUGACAAAAUUAAAUAACGUCAGUGAAUUGUUUUUAAUUUCUUCUAGGCAUUCAUCGACUUGCACGCCUUCCUCACACUCCUUGGAACUAGAACAUAGUCUGUUUCACAUUAAAUGAUUCACUUUUGAUUCUCGUAGUUGUAUAGUUGAGAAGCCAAAAAUGUCCUUGUGACAUUUGGAAGGAACUUUUCAGGCGUAUCUUGAAUCUUAUCAUUGAUUAUGAACUCUAUAUACUUUAUCACAAAAACUGUCAUAGGCGGUGUCUCUGUUUUCUCAAGCCGAAAAUCAGACUUCACAUCAAUUUGAAAAUCUAUAAUCUGUUCUUCUUUCUGUUGGAUUCUUGGACACGAUUAGUUAAGUCUUUGAGUACAGUCAUAAUGCUAGGCUGGAGAAAAAUAGAGAAUGGAUAAGCUAGCAAGAAGCAACGCCAUUGCAGGAUAAGUUAACUUAAUUGAAGAUUUCAGAUACAUUACACACUAUCGUGGCUUCUGAUCAUGUUGAUG
Molecule: long non-coding RNA, 598 nt
Filed under: Olea europaea (common olive)
Lineage: Eukaryota; Viridiplantae; Streptophyta; Magnoliopsida; Lamiales; Oleaceae
Description: long non-coding RNA (OEUR_LNC000515)
Source: RNAcentral